AUGCUUACAGGAGCAUUGGGUUGGGGACGCCUGGUGGGACACCACGUGAAGAGACAUCUUCUCCACCAGCGAUAUCAGCCGGACGCUCAUUCGUAUCCAUCAUAUAUAUGUGGCCCGCAGCAUUCAUACGAGAUGUAUUGUCAUGGGGACGAUUUACAGACCCCCCAUUGUUACUUGGUAUCACAGGAACCGCAUCAGCGUUGCCAAAAUUAUUUUCGGUGCAAUCCCCUGCAUGUGCAUUUUCAUUUUGGCGAACUGAUUCGUGUUCCGGUUGGACGCUACGAGUGUCAUCGCGUGCAGCUACAUCCUGGGCAACGUCUUCUCGAAUAUGUUCGUCUGGCCAUGUGGAUUUUCAGGAUAAACUUAUCAAUAUGA
Molecule: ribosomal RNA, 375 nt
Filed under: Triticum aestivum (bread wheat)
Lineage: Eukaryota; Viridiplantae; Streptophyta; Magnoliopsida; Poales; Poaceae
Description: partial small subunit ribosomal RNA
Source: RNAcentral